ACGCACGCUGGCGGCGUGCUUAACACAUGCCAGUCGAACGGAAAGGCCCUGCUUUUGUGGGGUGCUCGAGUGGCGAACGGGUGAGUAACACGUGAGUAACCUGCCCUUGACUUUGGGAUAACUUCAGGAAACUGGGGCUAAUACCGGAUAGGAGCUCCUGCUGCAUGGUGGGGGUUGGAAAGUUUCGGCGGUUGGGGAUGGACUCGCGGCUUAUCAGCUUGUUGGUGGGGUAGUGGCUUACCAAGGCUUUGACGGGUAGCCGGCCUGAGAGGGUGACCGGCCACAUUGGGACUGAGAUAAGGCCCAGACUCCUACGGGAGGCAGCAGUGGGGAAUAUUGCACAAUGGGCGGAAGCCUGAUGCAGCAACGCCGCGUGCGGGAUGACGGCCUUCGGGUUGUAAACCGCUUUCGCCUGUGACGAAGCGUGAGUGACGGUAAUGGGUAAAGAAGCACCGGCUAACUACGUG
RNAcentral lists this ribosomal RNA (467 nucleotides) under uncultured bacterium. Its description in RNAcentral is "partial 16S ribosomal RNA". It matches the Rfam family "Bacterial small subunit ribosomal RNA", at positions 29 to 507 of the family's 1533-position model. The record is from RNAcentral.